CCUACGGGAGGCUGCAGUGGGGAAUAUUGCACAAUGGGGGAAACCCUGAUGCAGCGACGCCGCGUGAGUGAAGAAGUAUUUCGGUAUGUAAAGCUCUAUUUGCAGGGCAGAAGAAAGACGGUACCUGACUAAGAAGACCCGGCUAACUACGUGCCAGUCGCCGCGGUAAUACGUAGGGGGCACGCGGUAUCAGGAUUUACUGGGUGUAAAGGGAGCGUAGGCGGCUGUGCAAGUCUGAGGUGAAAGCCCAGGGCUCAACCCUGGGACUGCCUUGGAAACUGGUGAGCUAGAGUGCUGGAGAGGUAAGUGGAAUUCCUAGUGUAGCGGUGAAAUGCGUAGAUAUUAGGAAGAACACCAGUUGCGAAGGCGGCUUACUGGACAGUAACUGACGUUGAGGCUCGAAAGCGUGGGGAGCAAACAGGAUUAGAUACCCGUGUAGUC
RNAcentral lists this ribosomal RNA (441 nucleotides) under uncultured bacterium. Its description in RNAcentral is "partial 16S ribosomal RNA". It matches the Rfam family "Bacterial small subunit ribosomal RNA", at positions 338 to 795 of the family's 1533-position model. The record is from RNAcentral.